GGUUAACGCUGGCGGCGUGCCUAACACAUGCAAGUCGAACGGUUCUAAGCGCGAGCUUAGGAUAGUGGCGAACGGGUGAGUAAAAGGUAGGAAUCUACCCCUUGGACGGAGAUAGCUACUGGAAACGGUAGGUAAACUUCGAUAAGCCCGAGAGGGGAAAGUGGUGAGACAGCCGAGGGAUGAGCCUACUCUCCAUCAGGUAGUUGGUGAGAUAAAAGCUUACCAAGCCGAUGACGGAUAACCGGUGUGAGAGCAUGAACGGUCACAAGGGCACCGAGAGACGGGCCCUACUCCUACGGGAGGCAGCAGUGGGGAAUCUUGGACAAUGGGCGAAAGCCUGAUCCAGCGACGCCGCGUGGAGGAAGAAGUCCUUCGGGAUGUAAACUUCUGAACUAGCCGAAUAAAAGGCCUGUGGACACACAGGAGAAGAAAGUAGGCUAGGAAAAGUCCCGGCUAACUAC
This 461-nucleotide ribosomal RNA is filed under the name uncultured Thermotogae bacterium. RNAcentral describes it as "bacterial SSU rRNA". It matches the Rfam family "Bacterial small subunit ribosomal RNA", at positions 28 to 504 of the family's 1533-position model. The record is from RNAcentral. Lineage: Bacteria; Thermotogati; Thermotogota; Thermotogae.